AAGUCGUAACAAGGUUUCCGUAGGUGAACCUGCGGAAGGAUCAUUAUCCAACCAAAACCAGCUGCGGUCGCGGCCCCCCGAGGACCUUACCUUGGGGUGGUAGGGGUAACACCCUCACGCGCCGCACGUCUGCAUCCUUUCUUUACGAGCACCUUCGUUCUCCUUCGGCGGGGCAACCUGCCGUUGGAACCAAACAAAACCUUUUUUUGCAUCUAGCAUUACCUGUUCUGAUACAAACAAUCGUUACAACUUUCAACAAUGGAUCUCUUGGCUCUG
This 276-nucleotide unclassified non-coding RNA is filed under the name fungal sp. RNAcentral describes it as "partial internal transcribed spacer region". The stretch from base 1 to 46 matches the Rfam family "Eukaryotic small subunit ribosomal RNA", at positions 1786 to 1831 of the family's 1831-position model. The record is from RNAcentral. Lineage: Eukaryota; Fungi.